This is a long non-coding RNA of Oncorhynchus tshawytscha (Chinook salmon), 826 nucleotides long. RefSeq lists it as uncharacterized. The record is from RefSeq and is a predicted model, not a curated record. Lineage: Eukaryota; Metazoa; Chordata; Actinopteri; Salmoniformes; Salmonidae. The transcript has 4 exons.
CUCAAUUCAACUUGAUUGGCUGAGCACACUAGGGCAAAACCUUGAAACAAAUUUGGUGAACUCAUGCAGUGGGUUCUUGUGAUCAGUGCUCCAGAUCAAACAUAACAGAUGGAUAAUAUAUAAAUAUAUAUUUUUUAAAACCUUUUUGCUAAAGGAAAUAGGGAAACUCAUACUGCAUCUCUCAUCAUCACACACUGUGAAAAUGACAGCAAGAUAAACAGGAAACAGAGACACAGGAAGUUGUGUGAAACGAGGGACGGCAGCGGUGUAAACUAGUCCAACAAACUACGUAUGCUAAUAACAAGGAUGCUGAUGUGUCCACAAACGUGUAUUUGCAGCAUUCCAACCCUCCUCAAUAGGAAGAAGCAGAUACAUCAAAUGUCAUUGUGCUAAGGGAACAGAAACCUUUGAGGUGGCAGUGGUUUGCUUGAAAAGAGCAAACCUUGCUAUCAAAUUGAAAUGCAAGUGUUUGGCUGCCCUAAAAAAAAAAAAAAGGCCCCCCCAUAGCCCAACUCCUGACCUGAGGCCAGACAGAGGGAAUCCUGGAUCAGAAGCGUGACCCAUGACAACGCACGCUCCAAUCAUAACCAGCAGAGGAGCAUGGUCUUCCCAGCCGUAGAGAUACCAACCUAUCCCAGUGACACAGCAGAUCUUCUCACUCAACGUGUGUGGGGCUUACACCAGGACACAAGGACACAGUCUAGUUUAAAGAGAGGUUGAAUCCAAUGUUUGUGUCACAAUGUUUGCAGGUGGUACAGUUUUGUUUUUGACCACCACUAUUUUUGAAACUUUCAGUAACAUUAAUAAAGCCAACAGGUAGAAUGCG